CUCCGCUUGGUGUAGUUGGUUUAUCACGUUCGGCUGUAAUUGUCUGAUGCUACCGAAAGGUCCCUAGUUCGAUUCUGGGAGCGGAGA
Molecule: transfer RNA, 87 nt
Filed under: Delitschia confertaspora ATCC 74209
Lineage: Eukaryota; Fungi; Ascomycota; Dothideomycetes; Pleosporales; Delitschiaceae
Description: tRNA-Tyr
Source: RNAcentral